UCAGCGAGAAAGCCCAGCUCGGCGCAGGCUCAGUGCUCACCGCCGCAGUCCCGGACGGAGGAGGGGGGUUCGGGAGCGCAGCGUCUUCGCAGCGGGUUAAGUAGGAUUAGUACCAAAUUCCUAUUAUAUUUGCCAAGCAACUUGAAUUUGUCAAAAUUCCCCCUCGUUGUUCUGGAGCUCCGUGAGGAGGAAAUUUUGAUCACAGUGUAAGAUCCAGACAUGCCAGUACGUAGGAAUACCAGCAUACUGCAUUACACUGGCUUCCUGCACUGGAAAUACAACUGCGAACCGCAGGUCCCGCUGUUCCCGUCCCUUUGUGUUUUUAAACGCAGCCAGGAAACUUAAUGUAUUCGCCAGGGAAGGGGCGGGAUGAGAGCUUUUUUAACCUCCCCGCCAUAAACUUUAAUCGGAUUCCAGGCUGUUGCACGGCAUGGACGCUCGCCUUCUCUCCUGCGUCUCCUUCCCCGUUGUUUCUACUACGGACUCCUUGCGAGUGCCUCUUUCAAGCGAAUGAGUGAUUUCUUUCUCUUGCCAUGUGCAAUUGCUCCCCCUUCCUUUCCUACCCUCGCUGGCCUCUCUUACACACACUAUGCCUUUCACACGCGGUCUGCGCCCCCCAGCCCCCCCUCCUUUCUUUCUUUUUUGCAGUGUCUUCACAUGCAAUCUCUCUCUGAAUGUGCAAUGUCUUUCCUGCUCGGGAGUGCUGCGUCCUUCACAGUGGAUUGGUUCCUCUUUCGGAGCAGAGGAGAUCAUAGAAGAUCUGUCAUGUCAGUACAAUCAUGACUUCGUGAUGCUCCCUGUUGAGCAGAAGAUAAAAUACUCAAGCAAGAUGGUAACUCUGAGAAGUUCUGAAGAAGAACCUUUGAUAUUGUAAUUCAAGCAUUGUUAUUGAUAACUGAAUGCUGUGCAGCUCUAUUCCUUUCUUUCACAAUUUUCCAGCAUGCUUCUUUGGUGAAAGAAAAUCAUUUCAAAGGAAGGAAGGAAGGAAGAAAGGAAGAAAAAAUGGCUCUUUCAAGCAUUGCUGGAAGAAGUGGCUUAAUGUUCUAAACAUAAUGGAAAUGUCUGAAUUUGCUGAGCCAAUGAUUUAAAUUGAGGUAUGUUUGAGUGAAACCUUAUUUGAGAUGUGAGCACUGAUUUCCCCCCAAUUUAGAGUGGAUCUUUUUAGAAGAAAUUUUAAACACUCCCUCUGUGUUGGCUGUGUGAGGGUGCUGCUGAGUCCUAAUGCAGUUGGCAAUGUGUAUGUCCUAGAAGCAGUGCAGAGCAUUCUGCCUCUGCACACUUCUGUAGAAAUGCUGGGGGAAAGCCAGCAUUGUAUCAAAGCCAUGAAGACUAAAACUUCAUUUUUAAAGCAUUUUUACUUUUUGCAUCCUCACCAUUAAUAUUUGGGUUUUUUUUUCCCCUUUUUUCCCCCACCCUCCUCUAAGGAAACAGAAAACCUGCCACAGUAGAAUAGAUUUCAGUCCUGUUAUCAGAAAAAGUUAUUGAUUUGUACUCCUCCCCUCAUCUGUUUUUGCUAUCUAAGUAUUGUAAAGUUUUCCUAUAACUAAGGAAAGG
Molecule: non-coding RNA, 1554 nt
Organism: Lonchura striata (white-rumped munia)
Lineage: Eukaryota; Metazoa; Chordata; Aves; Passeriformes; Estrildidae
Source: RefSeq, a predicted model, not a curated record